CAGCCGCCGCGGUAAUGCGUAGGGUGCAAGCGUUAAUCGGAAUUACUGGGCGUAAAGCGUGCGCAGGCGGUUGUGUAAGACAGGUGUGAAAUCCCCGGGCUUAACCUGGGAACUGCGCUUGUGACUGCACAGCUAGAGUAUGGCAGAGGGGGGUGGAAUUCCACGUGUAGCAGUGAAAUGCGUAGAGAUGUGGAGGAACACCGAUGGCGAAGGCAGCCCCCUGGGCCAAUACUGACGCUCAUGCACGAAAGCGUGGGGAGCAAACAGGAUUAGAUACCCGCGUAGUCCCUGUCUCUUAUAC
RNAcentral lists this ribosomal RNA (301 nucleotides) under uncultured bacterium. RNAcentral's name for it is "partial 16S ribosomal RNA". It matches the Rfam family "Bacterial small subunit ribosomal RNA", at positions 509 to 807 of the family's 1533-position model. The record is from RNAcentral.